CCUGAGAAACGGCUACCACAUCUAAGGAAGGCAGCAGGCGCGUAACUUACCCACUCCCAGUUCAGGGAGGUAGUGACAAUAAAUACCUUACAGAGGUCUCGUUAACCGAGAUCUCUCAAACGGAAUGAGUACAACGUGAAUCCUUUAACGAGGAUCGACUGGAGGGCAAGCCUGGUGCCAGCAGCCGCGGUAAUUCCAGCUCCAGUAGCGUAUAUUAAAGCUGUUGCGGUUAAAAAGCUCGUAGUUGGAUAUCAGUGCGUGUCCGGUCCGGUAUGCCCGGCGGCGGCGCUCGCGCGUCACUGCUGGGCUCCCAAAUAUCGGCUGGCCGCAUUCAAUCGUGCCGGAUCCGUCGACGGGCCGUUCUACGGAGGGGCCUGUUGGCGACCGGCGAGGUUACCUUGAACAAAUUAGAGUGCUCAAAGCAGGCUCUGAAUGCCUGUAUACAUAUUCAUGGAAUUGGAGAAUACGUCCCUGGCUCGAUUUGGUUGGUUUUGAGAGUCGAAGGGAAAUGAUUAAUAGGGACUGACGGAGGCAUUCGUAUUGCGACGCGAGGGGUGAAAUCCUGUGACCGUCGCACGACGAACUACUGCGAAAGCAUUUGCCGAGAAUGUUUUCAUUAGUCAAGAACGAAAGUUAGAGGUUCGAAGGCGAUCAGAUACCGCCCUAGUUCUAACCGUAAACGAUGUCGACCAGCAAUCCGCAACGGUCACUACACGGACUGUGCGGGCAGCUUCCCCGGGGAAACCAGAGUGUAUGGACUCCGGGGGAAGUAUGGUUGCAAAGCUGAAACUUAAAGGAAUUGACGGAAGGGCACCACCAGGAGUGGAGCUUGCGGCUUAAUUUGACUCAACACGGGACAACUCACCAGGCCCGGACACCGUAAGGAUUGACAGACUGAUAGCUCUCUCUUGAUUCAGUGGGUGGUGGUGCAUGGCCGUUCUUAGUUGGUGGAGUGAUUUGUCUGGUUUAUUCCGAUAACGAACGAGACUCUGGCCUAUUAAAUUUGACACCGUCAGUCUCUUGUGACUGCGGUGAGCUUCUUAGAGGGAUCAUCGGCGUCCCAGCCGAAGGAAAGGGAGCAAUAACAGGUCUGUGAUGCCCUUAGAUGUUCUGGGCUGCACGCGUGUUACACUGAAGUGGUCAGCGCGCCGUUCAACGUCCCACUCCGUGAGGAGCGGGCAAACGUUUGAACCCUUUUCGUGAUGGGAAUUGGGGGUUGCAAUUGUCCCCCAUGAACGAGGAAUUCCAAGUAAGCGCAGGUCACUAGCCUGCGUUGAUUAAGUCCCUGCCCUUUGUACACACCGCCCGUCGCUACUACCGAUGGAUGAUUUGGUGAGAUCGCCUAGACUGGCAGCUGGCUUCGGCCGUGCUGCCGGGAAGACGCUCAAACUUGGUCGUCUAGAGGAAGUAAAAGUCGUAACAAGGUUUCC
Molecule: ribosomal RNA, 1430 nt
Filed under: Microeuraphia sp. 2 MPL-2012
Lineage: Eukaryota; Metazoa; Arthropoda; Thecostraca; Balanomorpha; Chthamalidae
Description: SSU rRNA
Rfam family: Eukaryotic small subunit ribosomal RNA
Source: RNAcentral